Molecule: transfer RNA, 74 nt
Filed under: Candidatus Ruthia endofausta
Lineage: Bacteria; Pseudomonadati; Pseudomonadota; Gammaproteobacteria; Pseudothioglobaceae (SeqCode)
Description: tRNA-Cys
Rfam family: tRNA
About the family: Transfer RNA (tRNA) molecules are approximately 80 nucleotides in length. Their secondary structure includes four short double-helical elements and three loops (D, anti-codon, and T loops). Further hydrogen bonds mediate the characteristic L-shaped molecular structure. tRNAs have two regions of fundamental functional importance: the anti-codon, which is responsible for specific mRNA codon recognition, and the 3' end, to which the tRNAs corresponding amino acid is attached (by aminoacyl-tRNA synthetases). tRNAs cope with the degeneracy of the genetic code in two manners: having more than one tRNA (with a specific anti-codon) for a particular amino acid; and 'wobble' base-pairing, i.e. permitting non-standard base-pairing at the 3rd anti-codon position.
Source: RNAcentral
GACUGGGUAGCAAAGUGGUUAUGCAGGGGCCUGCAAAGCCUUACAGACCGGUUCGACUCCGGUCCCAGUCUCCA